AUUGCAGAAUUCAGUGAAUCAUCGAAUCUUUGAACGCACAUUGCGCCCCUUGGUAUUCCAUGGGGCAUGCCUGUUCGAGCGUCAUUUGUACCUUCAAGCUCUGCUUGGUGUUGGGUGUUUGUCUCGCCUCUGCGUGUAGACUCGCCUUAAAACAAUUGGCAGCCGGCGUAUUGAUUUCGGAGCGCAGUACAUCUCGCGCUUUGCACUCAUAACGACGACGUCCAAAAGUACAUUUUUACACUCUUGACCUCGGAUCAGGUAGGGAUACCCGCUGAACUUAAGCAUAUCAAUAGCCGGAGGA
This 301-nucleotide ribosomal RNA is filed under the name Epicoccum nigrum. RNAcentral's name for it is "eukaryotic LSU rRNA". The stretch from base 1 to 84 matches the Rfam family "5.8S ribosomal RNA", at positions 71 to 154 of the family's 154-position model. Lineage: Eukaryota; Fungi; Ascomycota; Dothideomycetes; Pleosporales; Didymellaceae. The record is from RNAcentral.